RNAcentral lists this ribosomal RNA (497 nucleotides) under uncultured bacterium. Its description in RNAcentral is "partial 16S ribosomal RNA". It matches the Rfam family "Bacterial small subunit ribosomal RNA", at positions 28 to 507 of the family's 1533-position model. The record is from RNAcentral.
GAUGAACGCUGGCGGCGUGCCUAAUACAUGCAAGUCGAGCGAACAGACGAGGAGCUUGCUCCUCUGACGUUAGCGGCGGACGGGUGAGUAACACGUGGAUAACCUACCUAUAAGACUGGGAUAACUUCGGGAAACCGGAGCUAAUACCGGAUAAUAUAUUGAACCGCAUGGUUCAAUAGUGAAAGACGGUUUUGCUGUCACUUAAAGAUGGAUCCGCGCCGCAUUAGCUAGUUGGUAAGGUAACGGCUUACCAAGGCGACGAUGCGUAGCCGACCUGAGAGGGUGAUCGGCCACACGGGAACUGAGACACGGUCCAGACUCCUACGGGAGGCAGCAGUAGGGAAUCUUCCGCAAUGGGCGAAAGCCUGACGGAGCAACGCCGCGUGAGUGAUGAAGGUCUUCGGAUCGUAAAACUCUGUUAUUAGGGAAGAACAAAUGUGUAAGUAACUAUGCACGUCUUGACGGUACCUAAUCAGAAAGCCACGGCUAACUACGUG